RNAcentral lists this ribosomal RNA (492 nucleotides) under uncultured bacterium. Its description in RNAcentral is "partial 16S ribosomal RNA". It matches the Rfam family "Bacterial small subunit ribosomal RNA", at positions 29 to 507 of the family's 1533-position model. The record is from RNAcentral.
AGUGAACGCUGGCGGUAGGCCUAACACAUGCAAGUCGAACGGCAGCACAGUAAGAGCUUGCUCUUACGGGUGGCGAGUGGCGGACGGGAGAGGAAUACAUCGGAAUCUACUUUUUCGUGGGGGAUAACGUAGGGAAACUUACGCUAAUACCGCAUACGACCUACGGGUGAAAGCAGGGGAUCUUCGGACCUUGCGCGAUUGAAUGAGCCGAUGUCGGAUUAGCUAGUUGGCGGGGUAAAGGCCCACCAAGGCGACGAUCCGUAGCUGGUCUGAGAGGAUGGUAGGCCGCACUGGAGCUGGGACGCGGUCCAGACUCCUACGAGAGGCAGCAGUGGGGAAUAUUGGACAAUGGGCGCAAGCCUGAUCCAGCCAGACCGCGUGGGUGGAGGAGGCCUUCGGGUUGUAAAGCCCUUUUGUUGGGAAAGAAAAGCAGCAGGUUGAUACCCCGCUGUUCUGACGGUACCCAAAGAAUAAGCACCGGCUAACUUCGUG